This 254-nucleotide ribosomal RNA is filed under the name uncultured bacterium. RNAcentral describes it as "partial 16S ribosomal RNA". It matches the Rfam family "Bacterial small subunit ribosomal RNA", at positions 524 to 776 of the family's 1533-position model. The record is from RNAcentral.
UACAGAGGUGGCAAGCGUUGUUCGGAAUUACUGGGCGUAAAGGGCGCGUAGGCGGUCUUGUAAGUCUUGUGUGAAAUCCCUCGGCUUAACUGAGGAACUGCACGGGAUACUGCGAGACUUGAGUUCGGGAGAGGGAAGCGGAAUUCCGGGUGUAGCGGUGAAAUGCGUAGAUAUCCGGAGGAACACCGGUGGCGAAGGCGGCUUCCUGGACCGAUUACUGACGCUGAGGCGCGAAAGCUAGGGGAGCGAACGGG